This 435-nucleotide ribosomal RNA is filed under the name uncultured bacterium. Its description in RNAcentral is "partial 16S ribosomal RNA". It matches the Rfam family "Bacterial small subunit ribosomal RNA", at positions 341 to 792 of the family's 1533-position model. The record is from RNAcentral.
ACGGAAGGCAGCAGUGGGGAAUAUUGCACAAUGGGGGAAACCCUGAUGCAGCGACGCCGCGUGAGCGAUGAAGUAUUUCGGUAUGUAAAGCUCUAUCAGCAGGGAAGAUAAUGACGGUACCUGACUAAGAAGCCCCGGCUAACUACGUGCCAGCAGCCGUGGUAAUACGUAGGGGGCAAGCGUUAUCCGGAUUUACUGGGUGUAAAGGGAGUCUAGGUGGUUUGGCAAGCCAGACGUGAAAACCCGGGGCUCAACCCCGCGGACUGCAUUUGGAACUGUUAAACUUGAGUGCAGGAGAGGAAAGUGGAAUUCCUAGUGUAGCGGUGAAAUGCGUAGAUAUUAGGAGGAACACCAGUGGCGAAGGCGGCUUUCUGGACUGUAACUGACACUGAGGCUCGAAAGCGUGGGGAGCAAACAGGAUUAGAUACCCUGGUA